This 253-nucleotide unclassified non-coding RNA is filed under the name uncultured Rhodospirillales bacterium. RNAcentral's name for it is "contains 16S-23S intergenic spacer region". It matches the Rfam family "Bacterial small subunit ribosomal RNA", at positions 524 to 776 of the family's 1533-position model. Lineage: Bacteria; Pseudomonadati; Pseudomonadota; Alphaproteobacteria; Rhodospirillales. The record is from RNAcentral.
UACGGAGGGGGCUAGCGUUGUUCGGAAUUACUGGGCGUAAAGCGCGCGUAGGCGGUUAGCGUAGUCAGGCGUGAAAUCCCGGGGCUUAACCCCGGAACUGCGCUUGAUACUGGCUGACUAGAGGCCGGGAGAGGGUAGUGGAAUUCCCAGUGUUGAGGUGAAAUUCGUAGAUAUUGGGAAGAACACCAGUGGCGAAGGCGGCCACCUGGACCGGUACUGACGCUGAGGUGCGAAAGCGUGGGGAGCAAACAGG